AUAUCUCUCUGUACGGGAAGGAUGAGAAGCUUCGACUAAGGUUCGAUUCGAGCGUCAGCGAGAAAGCGUUGCCGCAGGCAACGACCCGAAGGGCGAAGCGCGC
RNAcentral lists this small RNA (103 nucleotides) under Salmonella enterica subsp. enterica serovar Thompson. Its description in RNAcentral is "partial RtT sRNA". It matches the Rfam family "RtT RNA", at positions 1 to 101 of the family's 130-position model. From Rfam's summary of the family: This family represents a bacterial cis-regulatory element known as RtT RNA. The exact function of RtT is unknown although it is thought that it may be involved in changing the cellular response in relation to amino acid starvation. Lineage: Bacteria; Pseudomonadati; Pseudomonadota; Gammaproteobacteria; Enterobacterales; Enterobacteriaceae. The record is from RNAcentral. RNAcentral also lists the same sequence under 7 other names.